GUGCCAGCAGCCGCGGUAAUACCGGCAGUCCGAGUGAUGGCCGAUCUUAUUGGGCCUAAAGCGUCCGUAGCUGGCUGAACAAGUCCGAUGGGAAAUCUGUCCGCUUAACGGGCAGGCGUCCAGCGGAAACUGUUCAGCUUGGGACCGGAAGACCUGGGGGGUACGUCUGGGGUAGGAGUGAAAUCCUGUAAUCCUGGACGGACCGCCGGUGGCGAAAGCGCCUCAGGAGAACGGAUCCGACAGUGAGGGACGAAAGCUAGGGUCUCGAACCGGAUU
Molecule: ribosomal RNA, 276 nt
Filed under: uncultured prokaryote
Description: partial 16S ribosomal RNA
Rfam family: Archaeal small subunit ribosomal RNA
Source: RNAcentral